Molecule: ribosomal RNA, 253 nt
Filed under: uncultured bacterium
Lineage: Bacteria
Description: partial 16S ribosomal RNA
Rfam family: Bacterial small subunit ribosomal RNA
Source: RNAcentral
UACAGAGGGUGCAAGCGUUAAUCGGAAUUACUGGGCGUAAAGCGUGCGCAGGCGGUUGUGUAAGACAGUUGUGAAAUCUCCGGGCUUAACCCGGAAAGGUCAACUGAUACUGCGGGGCUAGAGUGCAGAAGGGGCAACUGGAAUUCUCGGUGUAGCGGUGAAAUGCGUAGAUAUCGAGAGGAACACCUGCGGCGAAGGCGGGUUGCUGGGCUGACACUGACGCUGAACUGCGAAAGCUAGGGGAGCGAACGGG